GCUUCCGUGGCGCAAUCGGCUAGCGCGUCUGACUGUUAAUCAGGAGGUUGGUGGUUCGAGCCCACCCGGGAGCG
This is a non-coding RNA of Syncephalis plumigaleata, 74 nucleotides long. Lineage: Eukaryota; Fungi; Zoopagomycota; Zoopagomycetes; Zoopagales; Piptocephalidaceae. The record is from the annotation of a GenBank genome assembly.